This 11146-nucleotide long non-coding RNA is filed under the name Gallus gallus (chicken). RNAcentral describes it as "lncRNA (ENSGALG00010003856.1)". Lineage: Eukaryota; Metazoa; Chordata; Aves; Galliformes; Phasianidae. The record is from RNAcentral.
GAAGAAACAAAUUUAAACACUGAAAUAAUAUAUUUGCAUUUAUUAAGUGAGAACAAAGGAUUUCAAACAGUAACAUAUGCAUGGAAGAGUCUACAAAGCCAUGUUUACACAGAGCAUUGGAAACAGUUGGAAAAAUGCUAACCGACAGUAACAGAACAUUCCUGAAUAAGCUAUUAUAUUGAGUAAGAGGAACAAGAAAAUGGGAAAAGGAAGGACGGCUAAUGUCUAUUUUAAUCAGCACGUAUAUUUUGAGAUGAGGGCUUUCUGCAGAGGAAUACAAUCAGACGUUUAACUCUACAACAAAACUCAACCCAAAUUUUUUACUGGUGCUUUCUAGACUAGAGGGUUUGUGUACAGAAUCACAGAGUCAUCCGGACUGCUGUCAUGGUUCCUUUCCAGCAGUGUACUGAUGGCGGAGCCUUCAGCCAUCUCUGCUGUUGCACAAAGAAAUCAGCGUGUGCUACAACGCACACACAUUUCUGUACAAGAGGCAUUAAAAAAGUUUGAGUUUCAAUGUUAACGGUUAGAGCGCACAAUUCCUGUAACUCACAUAGAUAUGAAAGUACAAACAGCCUACAAAAGAUUCUCUUUAUCUGGCUUGACUCUUAUCAUGAGGAAUAUAUUGUUUCUGACUUUCCUUCUCAAAACCAGUCUUUGUAUAGGAGUCAAUUUGCAAAAGCUGUAGCAAGGUGAUGCUAAAUAAGCAUGGCACCCUCAUCCAUCUGUUUACAUCUACUCUAAUGUAAGCUGUAUUAUAUACAUUUGGACGUCUCUUUAUGUAUAUGCUGGAUAACAAACAGAAUCACAGAAUUGCAGGGGUUGGAAGGGACGUCACGAGACCACCGAGAUCCACUGUAUUUACAAGUUCUUGGAUAUCUGAUUUCCAUCAGUCAUGAUACUUUUUUUUUUCCCCUGAAGAAGCCUGUAUUCUUUCAUCUUUUUAACUCUGCAUGUAGAAAUUGAGGCUGUAACGUGUCUCAUUACCUCCACACCAGCAACGGAGACAGAAAAGCUACUUGUCAGCAUUUCUGACACAAGCAUUUAUUUGUCGGGUCACAUCCCAGCGCAGCUUAAAGGGUCACGGAAAGUCUCUUCUGUUGAGCCAGCUGGUGUGUGCUGUAGCUGGAGAGACUGAUCCCAAACAUGCCCAGGAGCAAGGCUGCCCGUUGCAGCAGUACGUCUGAUGAGUUGAUAACUAUUUUUCCUGCAGCUUGAGUCUAUAGGGAAAACAGGGCAAGUUAUUAUGCUGAUUCUGCUGAUUUCAACAGAAAAGCUCCUAAUCCAAUGAUGCUCCCCAGAAUGUUAGUUAUAAAUCCAGGAAAGCGAAGCUAAAAGGGAUCAGUAACAUCUUUCCUUAGCUCCAUAGGUAGCGCUGGACCAAACAGACAAGCUUCCACACAAACUCUUCAAGUCUGACAAAGCAGCAGGAAAUGCCAAUCAAAGUAAAGACAAAAAGUUCAUUAUUUACCAAUUCUCAGAGUGACAAUAAGAAAAGAAAUUAAUUGCCUCAUGGAAGUAUGCGAUACACCAACCAAGAAGGUGGAACAUAAUUGCAUGGAUUCUCUAUAAAGCAAAACAAUUUCUUACACAUCUUGACACCGUGAAUUAAAACAUACUGUGCAUCUUCCUAGGUGUGGCAUUUCUUGCACAAAGCCUUCAUUCUUUAAGCUUUCCUUUUGCAAUCACUGGAUGGAAAGCAUGGCAUCACUGAAAUGAUCCGCAAAGUUCCCAUUUCAAGGAACCUAAGAUUCGCUUCCAGUUUCUAUGAUGUUUUCUGUGUGAGCUUAAAUAAUCAGAGCUCAGUGCUCAACUGUGGUUAACGGUGUGGCUACUUUAGCAAGGGCGUAAGUACAAACAAAAGGAAUUCCAGAUGAUAUCACUAUGUAAGUUGAUAUCAAAAGAUACGUAGAGAGGAGUGAAAGUCCGUUGCUAGGACUGAAACACAGUAUCUGUAGCUCAGCUGUAUCACCUCUCAACCACUACAGACUAUGAUUUUGAAUACAGAUAACAUUGCUCAACAGCUGUGAGAUUAUCUAACAAAGGAAUAUAAACACUCAGUAUACAUGAGAAUGUGGCAUACAAUAAGGAAUAUACCCUACUUCAUAAUAUCUUUUCUAUGAGUGUUUUAUUCUUAAUUAUUUAGUUGAUUUAAAGUAUUUUCUCUGUCUUAUUUUUUCUUCAUUUAGUAAUGAAUACUCUGGUCCCUCAGCAUUUCAGAGGUCAUAGAAUCACCAAUGUUGGAAAAGACCUCCAACAUUAUCCAGUACAACUGAUCACAUACCACCAAUAUUUCUCCACUAAACCAUGUCCCUUAGUACAACAUCUAAACACUUCUUGAACAUUUGCAGGUAUGGUCAGCCUACCACCUCCCUGGGCAGCUCAAUACUAUUGCAGGUUUCUUUAUCAUCCUUAUGUCCUUAUACAUAAGGAAGAAAUUCUUCACUCUUGAGUGGUGAUGCACUGGCACAGGCUGCCCAGAGAAGCUGUGGAUACUCUAUUACUGGAGGUGUUCAGGGCCAGGUUGGAUGGGGCUUUGGACAAUGUGAUCUAGUGGAAGGUGUCCCUGCCCAUAGUAGGGAGGGGUUGGAACUAGAUGGUCUUUAAAAUCCAUUCCAAGCCAAACCAUUCUAUGAUUCUGCGAUCAUAAUCAUAGAAAUUGGCUGAAUUGCUUUACUGAGAACUUAUUACAAGUUCUUCAGAACCCCACCAUUCUCAUUGCUAUUAAUGUUUUCCUACUGCCCCAAACACACAAUCUAAAAUGAUAGAGAAGUAGUUUUAGUUUAGGCACUGCAGAAACACAAGCUCCUUCCAAGUACCCCGCACUUGGUAUUCCAGCAUCAUACCAAUUAUCAAGAAUUAUCAUAAUUCAUUUACUUUCCAGCAGAGGCUUAAUUAAGACCUCUUUGAGUUUUUAUGAAUAUUAACCCAACAGAAGCCAGGGUUCCCUCGGGUUGGUCAGGCAAUAAUUUGAAACAAAAUCCAUCUGAGCAAGAAAAAUACUGGUAUUUCAAAGAUCUAAUUAAAAGCAGAAAAAACGUUGGAAUUUUCAUACCUGCAGCAACCUUAUAUACCCAGGUGUCAUUCUCCGCAGAGGGAUAACCAUUAUUUCUAAGUCUUUGUUGAAUUUCAGUCCCUGCAAUUUUAGAAGACAGAAAACAUUACUAAUUCCCAAGGAUUUUUUUACACUGACCUCCAAAUGAAAUAGAAGAUUAAAUCUAAUAUGCUUUGUUGGAGUGCCAGGGUGCUCCAAGAAGCAACAUAUGCAAACAUUUUCUCCUUACCUGGAGCUCUUUUCCCUGUAAGUUCCUUAAAUGCUAACAUCGAACUCGUAUAUAAAGCCCAGCUGAGUUGCAUAACCUGUCACAUGUGAUCUGUCUGCAAAGCUUAGGUGUUGGCAGAGGCUGCAAGUGUCUUGCCUGGGGCUAGGUAUGUCUGCAAUAUUAGAAAGCUCUCUGGGAAUGUCUGAAGCUCAUUAAGAAAGCAAAGCAACAGCUGACCUCUUUAAGAACAAAAAGGCCUAAGCCUGUUUUAUAGAUAGCACUGGACUUAAAAAAAGAGGUCAUUACAGCAUUUUGUAUCAUGGACUGACAAUGCAAAUAGGAUUGGAUUGCUUUUAUGUGACUUUGAGUAUACGUUUAUAUCUAUAGCACAACCUGUGUAGGAAGCUUAAUUCAGCCAUGACCCAAGUUGAAAGGAUGUGUUAAUAAUAUAACAGAGUUAUUUGGAGGCACAUUUAAAAAUAAGCUCUUUCUUUUCUGGGAGCAAUCUCCUUUACCUGGUAUUAUGCAUGUUCUUGCCUCCCUUUUCAACUGCUGAAGCUUUACCUCUAAAAAGUACCUAAUCUAAUAUUUAUUUUUACUAUCAGUACUACUUUCUGUUAACUGCGAUUCCUUUGCAGUGAGGUUGGACUCAGUUCAGCCCCUGGGGUGGUAAAAUCUGAUCUACAGAAUGAAUUUCUCUUUCUUUAAGAAGCUUCCAUUGAUAGACUGUAAUGAGAAAACUCUUCUUUCUCACUAUCAAUUUAUGCAACAUUGGGUAAGGAUAGCAAGGCACAAUUCAGCUCCAGUUACAGUCACACUUCUAAACAUGCAGGGUAAAUCUUCAGGAGAUGUCAACCAUCACAGCAACACUGUGCUCUGCGAGACCACGUCAGCACUCAUCAGAAGUGCUCGGCAGAACAGUGCUGAUUUACACCCCUCCAGGCUCUUUACUGUGGCAUUCUGAAGCUCUAGGAGUAAUGUUCCUGCCGUAAACCAGCAGAAAAAUGAAAGGUUUCUACUUGGAGAAAUAUUCUACAUUAGGCAUUCCGCAGUGAUAUCAGUUAUCAAGAAUUAUCAUAACUCAUUUACUUUACAGCAGGUGCUUAAUUAAUGUUAUAGAAGGGAGUGAUGCUACUUUAUUCUGAGGCUCUGGCCUGCAGGUAGAUUUCACCUUUCUCUUUGCCACGCCACAUUUAUACUGUAUGAACUCUGUUAGCAUCAGUGAAGUUAUGUCUCAUCCUCUGAAAAGCUAAGGUAAGCUGCACUAGUUCUAUAGCAUAAAUCUAAAUAUCAAGCAGGACGUUGGGAAAUUGCCAAUCUGGGCCUUUUAAAAUACACACUUGAACAGUAGUCCUGUGCUAAAUCUGAACUGUUGCAUAUCUCAGCUGUAGGAAACAUUGCAUUAAUGACAAACAAUCAACAUAAAAUGGGGAGCUCGCUGAAGUUCAUGGAAAGACUUCUUCCUGAUUCGGGUUCACAUUAUCAUAACAGGAGACACCACUGAAACAAGGUGCAUCAGUGAAUGUAAGUCACUGUGUCUGUACAAACAAGUUUGAGAUUAAAAUCUACACUGGAAAAAGGCAAAGCCUUUUCUUCUUGCUUCUGUUUCUCACAGUAUGCCAAAUGUUAUCCUUUCUGUACAAGAAAAGAACCCAGGAUUGCUGCCCAGAGUAGGUUCUAAAGCCUCAGGGUCUGCACUUGUAUGGAAAUGUAAGGAAUGCAAAUUUUUUCCUUUAAAUUUCCCACCUUGCUCAUAUUCAAAGCAGUAUCACAAUUUCAGUAGAGCUCAAAAUGCAUUACUAAUCACAUUUGUACCUGUGUGUGUGAUUUGUUCAGUUCAGAGAAUGGCAGUGGAGGGGAGGGCUUCCUGGGGCACAGUGUUCAGACAGGAAGAACCUCCCAUCCAGCAUCUCUGCUGAAAAUAAAAGGAAAGGGAAACGGGAUGCCUUGAAUGCCACAGAUCUUUUACAAGUUAUUUCUUGGCUGUGCUCAACACAGUUAAACAGAAGAAUGUUUUCUGUAAUUGAAGGUGUUACCAAAAUCUGUAUGACUUUCCCAAGGUCUCUAAAAGAACCACAUGCCUGGCUUCUACGUUAUUUCAGCUCUGUGAACAAACAGAAGUCUUGCUUCAGUUCCUUUGGAAGUUCACAUCCCAGAAAGGAACCAUGAUUGCCACAUCAGCCAGAAGUUCUGCAGACCUGCACAUCUCAGCCACAGUCACUUCUAGGUUGGGCUGAGAGAGCAAGACAACCCCAGGCAGCACAUGGCUCUCGUUACAAGAGAGAUUUGCUCUCUUGGCAAAUACAUGAGGAUCCUGCUAGCAGAGCAGACUGCUCACUUCGUUCAUCUACUGGCACCUUUGCUGCUUGACAGACAGUUUUCUAAUAGGCAACAAGCAGGCAAAACGCAAAUUACAUGCUGACAUCCUCCCUUCCCUCCCCAUCCCAGAAUUAAAGGUGAGGAAUUCUUUGAUCCAACCCAUCCGUAUCUACAACCUUGUGUUUUAUUUCCAUUAAGAGGAGAAAUCGGUGAUGAAAUUAAAUGUUUCUUGCUGUAAAUCCAUGAAUUCAGGAUGAGCAUGUGCUGCUUUCCUAAAUGCAGUAGGAGUCAACCAAGGCGAAUAACUUAUUUGGACAUACUUGGAGAUUGGAAGGAACCUCAAAUGCCAACUAGUUCCAACCCCCCUAGUGUGGGUAGGGACUUCUUCCACUAGAUCAGGUUGCCUGUGCCAUCCAGCCUGUGCCAGUGCCUCACCACAUCUUUAGCCUUCCUGAAGCAGAGGGAAAGAGGAGCAAUGCAAGCUGGUAGUGUUCAAGAGACAGAGCACAGGAACAGCAGAUGGCAAGAGAAGCAUCUUUCACCCACAGAGCUGCAGCCACACACAGCUGCUCUGCAAAGUAUGUUGAGUUGGGUUCACAUGCAUAAAGACCCAUCGGUUGAGUCUGCAGCUGCCAGCAAACCCCAAGGCUAAUAUGUGGAGUAAAAAUGCAAACCAGAGAGAAAGGGGAAGAAGAGAAAAACUAAAAAUAGGGAAAAGUGAAAUCUACUCAUUGGCCAUUGGGAAGAGAAGUGACAGGGGACCCAAGCAAGCAGCUUUCCCAGGGCCCCUCUCCAGUGCUACAGAUCCCCCCAUAACACUCUCCUAAAGAAGUGACACAGGUUUAAGUGGGACCUGCUCAAACUCCUGCUGGUGCUUUUUGCUCAUGAUGCUGCUAUUGCUGAGUGCUAUGUGCUGUUGAGGCUGGUGCUGCAUCCUCACCUAUCGCUACACUCUCUGAAGGCAAAUUAUUAGGCCCCCAGACAAUGGCAAUAAAAGGGGGCAAAGACAUGUUGAUGGCAGCAGUCACCUCCCACAAGAACCCACCACUGCCAUUUUGAAAGCAAUUCAGACAUUUAACUGAAGAACUACGUUCCAAAAUUCAUCAUCCUUACAUAGGCCUGGAUGGAGGAAUACGGUCAGGAUUCUGAACUCACAGAUGGCUUCCACUUCACCUCUAUGUAUGGGAUGGGAGUAAAUACAAAAUACCGUCUCUGUGUGCAAAUGAAUUACAUGAAGAAAACAACUCAAUAAAGUUGCCUCUAUACACAACCAUAUGACUAUUUGGUUUUUUUUUUUUUUUGGUUUUUUUUUUUUUUACUUAAGCAGAUAUUAGAUCUGAGAGUACUUCCUCACAAAUCAUUCUAGGUGUUAUUUAAAAAUUAAAGCUAAACUCAAAGGAAUUUUGCCUGAGACAAAUGUAACUUAAAAACACCCCAGCUCUUCGAUGGUAACAGGAUUAGGCCCCACGAGCUCAUCGAAGAAGGCCGUGGUCCUGCCCCAAAGUGCUUACAAUCCAUUUAGAAACAAGUGGGUGCCAACAGAUGGAGGAGCACUGGGAAACAAAGAAAAUAUAGUGCUUGGCAUGCGUGGCAGUGUUCUCAGCUCACUCUCAGUCAGACUGUUUCCACAUUUUUGUGGGCGUUGCAGCAAAGCACGGUGUUAAGGAGGGAUCUGAAGGUGGUUAAUGAAUUUUAAGAUGAUGAGACAGGCAAGGAACAGGAACAAUGUUAGCCACAGUGUUGCACUACACUGUACUAUCUUUGUGGAGCACAAAAUGAGGGAGCUGUAUUGGAAUAUGUUGCUGGUGGAAGUAGGAAAUGCUGUCAAUAAAAGAGGAGCGGAAUACUAUGUGGAUGAACUGAGGCACAGAUCACAACUGUAAAUUGUUCAGUCCUUAAAGUCAUCUAAGGUUAUGGAUAGACAGUAGCAAGAGAAUGUGCUGCUGAGGCUUAUGGAGUUACCAAUGGAACAGCAUAAACUACUCAUUUACUUCAUGCUGUGUAUCGACUAGUUCACUUCCCACAGCUCCACUGCCAAGCAGUUACUUCUGUAUUUGCGGCCUGCCUACCCACAUUGCUUUGAUGACAUUGAAGGACAGAAUAAUAGCAACAGACAAAAAUUUACCAGCAAAGAUCCCCCACAUAAUAGCAGAAAAUCAGGCUAAUUUCUGCUAUGGAGAAAGGAGAACUUCUGCCGUGAAAGAAAAUUGUUGGAAAUUACUGCAGACUGUACCUGUUAGAAAUUGCAUACAAAGAAGAGAAAAAGAAAAGAAAGGAGAAGAAUUGUCUCGAAAGACUUCCAAGAGACGUUACUGGGAUGCCACUGUGGAAACAGGAAAAGUGACGCUGGAACUUUUUCUUUUUUAAGUAUUUCCAAGUAAAGAUAGGUUAGCAUUGCUGUCACUGGCAGUAGCACAGACAGAGCACAAACACAUAAACCCUCUGGCAUGCGUUUGUGGGCUGGAUUCCUCUCUGCUAACUUAGACCUGUAUAGCACAGAUGCCUGUCUCUGAACUAGCUGCUCUGAACAGCCACUUCAAUUUACCUAUUUGACAUAUUGAUGUUGUAAAUGAAAAGAAGUGAUGAUGGAUAAUACAGUGAGAUGAUGUAGCAAGCUCAGAUGUAGACAUCAACAGUGUAAAUGCAGGCACAUGGAUUGCUCUCCUUUGAUUAAAACAGGAGAGUUCAAAGUAAACCUGGUACGAAGAAGGGCAGCAUAUUACCUGAAGAACUUAUACAAGAUUAUCUUGUUCAACCUUGCAAAAGGAAGGCUGGGAGGCAUUCGAUUACUUCCUACAAAUACAAAGGGAACAAAUAGCAGAGAAAGCGGAAUGCUGCUGAGGCCAAAGGCUAAUACAGCGCUAACAAACAAAUACAGCCAUGAGGAGAUUAAGUAUAGAAAGACGGCGGCUUCUGGUGAAGGAUGGGUUUCUGAAACUUUACAAGAAAGAAAGCAGAUAAAAUAGUUUUAACACAUAAUUUGGCUAUUCUUCUGUACCGCAAGACCUUAUGGUAUAACAUGGAAAGCUCAUGUACUGUAACAAAGCAGGUGCAUAAAUCUGUAGUAGUUACCUGAUUCAUUAUUAGCUGUGUUAAAUCACAGACACUGGGGACCAUAUGACAAAAGCAGAUUCUUUGGAACACUGCUACUCCUAUUGCAGUGCCUAGCAGCAAAGAGCUGACAGUUUUAUGGCACUGUAAAAGCAUUCAGAAAAAUUACUCUUAGAUUCAUAAUAAUACAAGACGUAGUAACAAAAUGACUCAUCCUCAUUCUUCUUUAUAUUACACUGAACUUCUGCAGCACAGCAUUCAAUUGAAAUAGUCCAGGCAGGGUUACAUGCACACUGUAGUUAGCUGCCUUCCUACAGAGUUUUCCUCAGGGCACAAGAGCUCUGCACUCCCAGGUGUAGGAAGUCAGGAAAGGAAAGCAAGAGACAGGCAUGGCUGAAUGGGGAUCUGCUGGUCAAACUGGAGAGUAAGAAGAAAAAUGGAAACAGGGACAGGUAACCUGGGAGGAGUAUAGGGAUGCUGCUAGGCUGUGUAAAGGUGGAGUCAGGAAGGUCAAGGCCCAGCUGGAACUGAACUUGGCAAGAGGCGCAAAGAAAGGCCAGAUUGGAUGGGGCCCUGGGCAACCUGAUCUAGUGGGUGGCAGCCCUGCUCAGGGCGGCAGGGUGGAGCUGGAUGAUCUUUUAAGGUUCCUUUCAACCUAAGCCAUUCUAUGAUUCUAUUAUUCUGUGAUUCAAAAGAAAGUAGCAGCAGUACAAGAAUAAGCCUGUGUCUGAUAAAGCCUAUGUCUAUAUUGGCUUUGGUAGAAUGACUAGAAAGUACUGUCAUCAGGCUCACAUGCUGGCAAGGCAGCAAGGGUUUCUGAGGAGUAUGCACUGUACAUGUAGAGCAUAUUGUUCAGAGAGAGCUGUGCUACAAUCCUUAGUAUCUUGAGAAUCCAAAUUCUUCUCCUAUGCCAUUUCUGAGCUUCAUAUCAGUCAUGCAGAUCAAUUCACCUGCUUUGGAUUGUUUUUUCCUGCUGCUCCUGCUGAAUACUGAACCACAAGGACUCAUCCCAAAGGGCUAUUUCAACAUAUCGGAUGGGAUAAGGUGAUCCAUUAAAGGGUCCUCAAAGCCUAGGAUCACCAAAUGCUUCCUCUCUUAGAUACCGAGCAGAGACAUUGCUGUCCUUGCACUGUACUUUUUAUCUUAGUUCCCAGCUAGUGGAUCUCAGCAUCUCAGCUCCACUGUCCCUCACUCACAGGAGGUCUUCAAACACUGAGGUUCAUGGAAUAUCCCACUACACGUAGAAAAGUCAAUUAAUGAGAAGGACUGAAUUUAAAGGCCUGCAGGAAGAGAUAUACAAUGUGACACAAAGAACAAGUACAGCAUCUUUGGGGCUCCCACCUCCCAAGCCCCAUUAGACAGCCACUGCCCGCCAGAACGUGGGAGGUUCUGUACAAUAUUUGAGUGAAUAAAUGUAUUGCCUGUUUUUCUGUAGCUAACAUGUACAGUAGUACAGAAAUAUUUACUCAUUUUACAACUGAAGAUCAAAAGAACUUAACCAAAAUGAAAAAAAAAAAAAUACCAGAAAACCUCAAACCAAUAAAAUAAGCAAAAGGCGGAGAGAAGACUUGGGAUCUUGCAGCUCUGAAGUCCUUAAUGGAAAUCAGCACAUUUCAAAAAGGUGCUGCAGUGCUCACAGCACUGGCAGCUCUGAUAUUUGGUUCUACCGUAACCAUUCGUACAGCUUUGCAGAAAUCAGAGGUUGGACUGCAACAGAAAACUGAACUAGCAGAUAGGGGCAAGUGAUAUUACAGCACAAGCACUUCCCUGCUGUGUUUUCUGCUUUUCCACUCCUUAAAACCCAUAGCAGAAUAAUGGCUAUCUUUUUUAAACAAGAGCACUUUGGCUUGCUGCUUUUAAGUUACCAGAGAUGCUGGGCUGUUUUCACUGGACUGGGAACUACACGGGUGUUGAGAUUUGUCUACAUCCAUUAUUUUGGGGAGGUUCUUAUCUGGCAAGAAGUCAACCAACUUCCAGGGGGAGGUCCUGGAGGUCCCAGUUAACCCUGGAAUGAGAGCUGUAAUGCACUGUCUUGCAACAGUCCCACUAUUCAGAGCGUGUGCAAAUACUUCAGCAAGGUAGUGUAAUGGAGGCACAUACAGUGCAAUGCUGACAGUUUGUGAAGAAGAUGGGUGUAUUCAUAUGCUGUAAUGCCAUUCCUCAACGUCCGUCUCAAUGCUGAUCUGGAUAGGGAAACUUAAGGCAGACCUAUGGAUCUAUCUGGCAGCACUCACAAGACAUUUCAUUACUCAAGAGCACAUUUAGAAACAAGGCAUCAGGCUCUUUCCUGUGAAGUGCCUGAAACGCCCACUUAGAAAAGAUGGUGCAAAGAGGGGGGAGCUUGUUAAGGAAUAAGGCAUGUCCCCUCACUCUGCUCUCCUUCCCAAAGUCCACUAGACUCCAUCUACCUCAGGACACCCACCACAUACUGGCUCGUGUGCCAGGCUGAACAGGUGCUCCUGGCUAGUCAACGCUCAGUGGGUGUUCGUCACUGUGAGAAACAGUAUGAGAAAAUU